UACGUAGGGUGCAAGCGUUGUCCGGAAUUAUUGGGCGUAAAGAGCUCGUAGGCGGUUUGUUGCGUCGGCUGUGAAAUCCCGAGGCUCAACCUCGGGUCUGCAGUCGAUACGAGCAAACUAGAGUGUUGCAGGGGAGACUGGAAUUCCUGGUGUAGCGGUGAAAUGCGCAGAUAUCAGGAGGAACACCGGUGGCGAAGGCAGCUCGCUGGGACGUUACUGACACUGAGGCGCGAAAGCGUGGGGAGCGAACAGG
This 253-nucleotide ribosomal RNA is filed under the name uncultured bacterium. RNAcentral's name for it is "partial 16S ribosomal RNA". It matches the Rfam family "Bacterial small subunit ribosomal RNA", at positions 524 to 776 of the family's 1533-position model. The record is from RNAcentral.